This 491-nucleotide ribosomal RNA is filed under the name uncultured bacterium. RNAcentral describes it as "partial 16S ribosomal RNA". It matches the Rfam family "Bacterial small subunit ribosomal RNA", at positions 29 to 507 of the family's 1533-position model. The record is from RNAcentral.
AGUGAACGCUGGCGGUAGGCCUAACACAUGCCAGUCGAACGGCAGCACAGUAAGAGCUUGCUCUUACGGGUGGCGAGUGGCGGACGGGUGAGGAAUACAUCGGAAUCUACUUUUUCGUGGGGGAUAACGUAGGGAAACUUACGCUAAUACCGCAUACGACCUACGGGUGAAAGCAGGGGAUCUUCGGACCUUGCGCGAUUGAAUGAGCCGAUGUCGGAUUAGCUAGUUGGCGGGGUAAAGGCCACCAAGGCGACGAUCCGUAGCUGGUCUGAGAGGAUGAUCAGCCACACUGGAACUGAGACACGGUCCAGACUCCUACGGGAGGCAGCAGUGGGGAAUAUUGGACAAUGGGCGCAAGCCUGAUCCAGCUAUACCGCGUGGGUGAAGAAGGCCUUCGGGUUGUAAAGCCCUUUUGUUGGGAAAGAAAAGCAGCAGGUUAAUACCCCGCUGUUCUGACGGUACCCAAAGAAUAAGCACCGGCUAACUUCGUG